Molecule: ribosomal RNA, 170 nt
Filed under: uncultured bacterium
Lineage: Bacteria
Description: partial 16S ribosomal RNA
Rfam family: Bacterial small subunit ribosomal RNA
Source: RNAcentral
ACUCCUACGGGAGGCAGCAGUGAGGAAUAUUGGACAAUGGGCGCAAGCCUGAUCCAGCCAUGCCGCGUGCAGGAAGACGCAUCUAUGGUGUGUAAACUGCUUUUGUACGGGAAGAAACACUCCCUCGUGAGGGAGCUUGACGGUACCGUAAGAAUAAGGAUCGGCUAACU